GACGAACGCUGGCGGCGUGCUUAACACAUGCAAGUCGAACGGAAAGGCCUGCUUUCCCUUGUGGAUUGCGGGUACUCGCGUGGCGAACGGGUGAGUAACACGUGAGUGAUCUGCCCCCAACUUGGGUAUAAGCCUGGGAAACUGGGUCUAAUUCCCGAUAGGACUGCAGGGUGGUGCCUGUUGUGGAAAACGAUUUUCUAGUGGUUGGGGAUGAGCUCGCGGCCUAUCAGCGUGUUGGUGGGGUAAUGGCCUACCAAGGCGGCGACGGGUAGCCGGCCUGAGAGGGUGGACGGCCACAUUGGGACUGAGAUACGGCCCAGACUCCUACGGGAGGCAGCAGUGGGGAAUAUUGCACAAUGGGCGGAAGGCUGAUGCAGCGACGCCGCGUGGGGGAUGACGGCCUUCGGGUGGUAAACUCCUUUCGACCGCGAGGAAGCCACCUGGUUGGAAGGUUGGUGACGGUAGUGGUAGAAGAAGCACCGGCUAACUACGUG
RNAcentral lists this ribosomal RNA (494 nucleotides) under uncultured bacterium. Its description in RNAcentral is "partial 16S ribosomal RNA". It matches the Rfam family "Bacterial small subunit ribosomal RNA", at positions 28 to 507 of the family's 1533-position model. The record is from RNAcentral.